Long non-coding RNA from Brachypodium distachyon (stiff brome), 733 nucleotides. RefSeq lists it as uncharacterized. The record is from RefSeq and is a predicted model, not a curated record. The transcript is spliced from 3 exons. NCBI's taxonomy places the organism in Eukaryota, Viridiplantae, Streptophyta, Magnoliopsida, Poales, Poaceae.
CUUGGUUCUCGGAUGAAUGUGUUUUUUUUCUUACUUUUGAUAUCUGCCAAAAACUGCAGCAGUUAGUAGUCAAAUGGUCAUACCUUUGCAGGAAGUGUGUUUUAGCAUUCGAAACAGCCCAGAUAUAUGAAAUAUUAAAUAGUAGCAGUAUUAACAAGUUUGCAUAUCUAUGGUUAUUCUUUCUGUUAAAACUUCCCAAAGAUGAGAAAAAAUACACAAAUCAAAAUCGUUGUACAGACACCCAUGUGGAACGAAAUACACUUGUAAGUAUUUUCUUUUUCUUCAGUAAAACCUCCCCGCCAACUUGUUCUUCUUUGUACAUGGAGUCGGAUGAAUUAUACGAAGUAUGCAGACUAAGCAAAGAUCUGACAAAAUACCUUCAUGAAGACCUGCCAUAGUGCCAUGCACAGAUGUCUUGACAGAGAAAUAUUUUGCAGCACAUCCGUACAAAACGCCCAGGCGAGCUUGGCGCUGGGCGGCAGCAAAAUGCCCACUCACUGCCUUGUGCCUUUUUGAACUUGUCUACGACUAAGAAAGCUGAAGUAAUGCCAACUCAGGGUGAUCGCCGCUGGCUUAAUGCUUGCAUGUCAAACAGGAAGCAAUCUUCAUGUAAUCUGCAGGAAAAUACGCUCAAGGUGGUCGCGGGCAGCGUGCUUAACACAUGCAAGUCAAAUAGGAAUAAGUGUUCCUGUAUCUGCAUGAAAAAUAUAGUUGUUCCAUUGGGGUCCACUUA